This 1863-nucleotide long non-coding RNA is filed under the name Carassius auratus (goldfish). RNAcentral describes it as "lncRNA (ENSCARG00000018304.1)". The record is from RNAcentral. Lineage: Eukaryota; Metazoa; Chordata; Actinopteri; Cypriniformes; Cyprinidae.
AGGAUGUCGGGACAGGAGCACCUUUCAUUCACAUGGAUCACAGAGUGAAAAAUGGUCGGAAAUGCCUCUCUGUGCCGGUCGUGCCUGCAGGAAACUGUGAACUACAGAUCUAUAUUGGGACAGAUGACAAAACAAGUUUAGGAAGGAACUACAGGAAUUUCCAAACCACCCUGACAAGAGAUGUCACAUGAAUCUGAUGGCGUAAGGCUUGCAUGUUCAAACUCAUCUGAUGUUAAAAAAAAAAAAAAAAAGAUGUGGAUUCAAUGUGAAUGCCAGAUUUGGUUUGGCUGGUGCAUUUGCAAAAGGAAUUAAAGUUUUAUAAAGUCAGCUGACUUUAUAAUGCAUAGCCUUUUCAAAGUCAUUGACACAUAAAUUCAAGUUUUAGCUCAGAAGAUUUAAUUUAAGUAACACUGAAAUGCCUUAACUAAUGCUUUGAUGAUCUUGAUCACCUAAAGACACAAUCUAAAGUGCCAGGAAACUGCGUUGUAAAAAUGCUUUGGCAGACAGCUUGAAAACAUGCUUCAUAUGGUGACAUCUAAGUUAAAAUAUGUAUUUUAUUUCAUUGAAUACGGCUAAAUCAAUUCGAAAACAUUAAUUAAAUAUAAAUUAAAUUUUAAUUGAAUUAAAUUUAAUUUAUGCAUUUAGCAGAUGCUUUUAUCCAAAGCGACAUACAGUGCAUUCAGUCUAUCAAUUUUUACCUAUCAUGUGUUCCCGGGGAAUCGAACCCCCAACCUUGCGCAAUGCUCUACCAAUUGAGCUACAGGAACACUAAUUACAACAGUAAUAACUAACAACAACAACUGGCUCACAGAAAGAUAUGAUAAACUUGGUGUGAUAUUAGAUCUAUGGCAAGACAAGUAGCCUAUAGGUGGCAAAUGCACUUUAUGAUAUGUUGACAUUUAUAUUCUUCCAUAUUAAUAAGUGCACGCUGCCUCUGUAUUAAACAGCAGCUAGGUUGAGGCUCAUCAGUCCAUGACUCAUCUUGACUCAUUAGUUCAAGUCUGCAAAGUCGCAACUAAGAAUUCUUUCCUCUUGGACUCAAGUCUCAGUCUCACAUAUCUUCUGAGACUAGCCUAGACCUGCAUCACAUGUUAAAUUACACGUGUAGUUGCUUGAAAGAUGCCUCCAUAUUAAAAUACACAGCUGUAGCAAACUAACUUUACAGCUCUUGUUUCUUAUUAUGUAGAAAUUGCGUAUUGGUGUUGGAUAUAUGCUAGUUGGGUUUGCAUCAGUAUAUGAAAGUGAUGAGUGUUGGGCGACUCUUAGAUGACUAAGUUUUCUCUUUUAAAAGUUCUGCUUUGACUUCAUAUUUCAGUGCCGCUGUGUUACAGCACAGGGUUUGUAUCUGUCUGCUUCCUGACACAUUUGUUUGUUAGUAACCGUGUGUCUGUGAGGUGCUUGGAGCUGUGCAACCCCCUGAACAGACAGUCUUCAACCAGAUGCUGUCACACUCUGAUAGACUCACAGAGCUCAUGCAGUCACUGCUUCAUUCACUCUGAAGCUCAGUCACACGUUCAUGUGGGGCUUCAGGUCAGACUUUAAAAAUACUGACACAUAUACAUUCUCUCAGAUUCAUAAGUGUAUAUCUUAGGUUCUGUAAACUGUCACCAUUUCUGUAUUUUCACCGUUUUGAACACCUUUUACCUUACCUUACCACUACAGGUCCUGUAGUGCGACAAAUGAUGCUUUCACAUUUUAAUUACAAAUAUUCAGUAUAUACUGUAUGAUUCAAAAGUUUGGGGUCAAAAAGAUUUUGUAAAUGUUUCUUUGUAGAACGUCUCUUAUGCUUACUAAGGCUGCAUGUUACUGACUAAAAAUACAGUAAAAACUGUUAUAUUGUGUAAAUUUCUUACCAUAUAAAAU